AUAUGGAGGGUGCAAGCGUUACUCGGAAUCACUGGGCGUAAAGGGCGCGCAGGCGGUUUGGUAAGUCAGAUGUGAAAGCCCACGGCUCAACCGGGGAAGUGCAUUUGAAACUGUCAGACUUGAGUACUAGAGGGGAAAGUGGAAUUCCCGGUGUAGAGGUGAAAUUCGUAGAUAUCGGGAGGAAUACCGGUGGCGAAGGCGACUUUCUGGCUAGAUACUGACGCUGAGGCGCGAAAGCGUGGGGAGCAAACAGGAUUAGAAACCCUAGUAGUCC
Molecule: ribosomal RNA, 274 nt
Filed under: uncultured bacterium
Lineage: Bacteria
Description: partial 16S ribosomal RNA
Rfam family: Bacterial small subunit ribosomal RNA
Source: RNAcentral